CUGUUUCUAAUUAAUAGGAAUAAUUUAACUUUUUAUUGAGAAGGAUAAAAUUUUAUUGAAAGACGAGAAGACCCUGUAGAUCUUUAUAGAUGUAUUAAUUUAAGUAUUAUUUAAUUUGAUAGUUUGAUUAUUUGGUUGGGGUAAUUUAAUUUAUAAAUAUUUUUUUGUUUUAACAUUUAAUUUUGAUUUUUUGACCUAUUUUAUAGUAGUUUGAUUAAGUUACCUCAGGGAUAACAGC
This 238-nucleotide ribosomal RNA is filed under the name Zorotypus juninensis. RNAcentral's name for it is "partial 16S ribosomal RNA". Lineage: Eukaryota; Metazoa; Arthropoda; Insecta; Zoraptera; Zorotypidae. The record is from RNAcentral.